GACAGAGGGCUGCAAACCCGCGAGGGCGAGCCAAUCCCAGAAACCCUAUCUCAGUCCGGAUUGGAGUCUGCAACUCGACUCCAUGAAGUCGGAAUCGCUAGUAAUCGCAGAUCAGCAUUGCUGCGGUGAAUACGUUCCCGGGCCUUGUACACACCGCCCGUCACACCAUGGGAGUUUGUUGCACCAGAAGCAGGUAGCUUAACCUUCGGGAGGGCGCUUGCCACGGUGUGGCCGAUGA
Molecule: ribosomal RNA, 238 nt
Filed under: Caulobacter sp. Root656
Lineage: Bacteria; Pseudomonadati; Pseudomonadota; Alphaproteobacteria; Caulobacterales; Caulobacteraceae
Description: partial 16S ribosomal RNA
Rfam family: Bacterial small subunit ribosomal RNA
Source: RNAcentral